Molecule: long non-coding RNA, 993 nt
Organism: Oncorhynchus tshawytscha (Chinook salmon)
Lineage: Eukaryota; Metazoa; Chordata; Actinopteri; Salmoniformes; Salmonidae
Exons: 4
Source: RefSeq, a predicted model, not a curated record
AAUUAACACAAAGCACAACCAAUUUCAAGCUAAACAAGCCCUGUGGAGAAGACAAUUGCUGAAGAGAAAAUCAAGAUGUCAGAGGCUCUGAUCUCCUUUCAAAGGCUUAUUGCCAAAAUAAUUUGCCUGACAACCUCUGUGACUGGCAGGACUCGACUGACGAAAGGCCACGGAGUACAGAGAAUCAUCUUGGUCUCUCACAUGGCUUAACCCUGGAGCUUGAGGGCUCGAGGUUUCUUUCUGCCUUCUUAAUUGAGGGUUCCCCCUCACCAAAUCGAUGCAAAGGAUCAGACGCAAGAGAGGACCUACCCAAGCGCCAUAACCUGUACCACUGCCACUGAGAAGCAAAAGGAUAAAACACCAUGCAAGCCACCAAGUGUGUGGAUAGGGAAACGGCAAACUAAAACGUUGCGCAUGUCCCAACCCAGCGAUUUAUAGUGCGGUGGACCCUUCACAACAUAAGCCAACCCCUUAUUCUCAUUCUUGAUCGAUGUAUUUGGGAAAGGUAUUCUAAUUUUACCAAGAAUUGCCAUGUGGUCCAAUAUUUUCCAGCAGAGAAUCUUGAGCAUUCAUGCUCCAAGGACAGGUCAUGUGGGAGACCGAGGUCUCCUUCUGCCUCUUCAGAUGAGAUCCCCCCUCACCAAAGCACUACAAAGGCUCAGACCCUUUUCUAUAACGGAAGCAAGUAUGACACAUUUCAUUUGUGUGAGUGCAACCAUAUCCGUAGGCUAGUUGGAUUUCCGAAGAACAAGAAGUGAUUAAUAGGUUUUUAAUCCUCUCUUCUAUUUCAUUUGUUUCCUGUUAUAGUCUUGUCCAGUCAAUUCUACGCAAGUAUCCAUAAACUUUGCCAAUCUUGUAUUUUCUGACAAACCAUUGAUAUAUAUUUUCUUGACACCAAGAAUAAAGAUACUGCAGUGAAAAGUCAUUCUUGCCUGAGUUGCAGAAGUUGGAACCACUAUAUUAAACAGAGGGGGCUUUGCAGAUGGAUCAUUU